Molecule: ribosomal RNA, 365 nt
Filed under: uncultured bacterium
Lineage: Bacteria
Description: bacterial SSU rRNA
Rfam family: Bacterial small subunit ribosomal RNA
Source: RNAcentral
AGAGUUUGAUCAUGGCUCAGGAUGAACGCUGGCGGCGUGCCUAACACAUGCAAGUCGAACGGAGUUCUUAAGGAAUGCGACUUCGGUCAAAUGACUUUUGAACUUAGUGGCGGACGGGUGAGUAACGCGUGAGCAACCUGCCUUUCAGAGGGGGAUAACAUUUGGAAACAGAUGCUAAUACCGCAUAAGAUUACAGUACCGCAUGAUACAGUGAUCAAAGGAGCAAUCCGCUGAAAGAUGGGCUCGCGUCCGAUUAGAUAGUUGGUGAGGUAACGGCUCACCAAGUCGACGAUCGGUAGCCGGACUGGAGAGGUUNAACGGCCACAGUUGGGACUGAGACACGGCCCAGACUCCGUACGGGAGCA